RNAcentral lists this ribosomal RNA (476 nucleotides) under uncultured bacterium. RNAcentral describes it as "bacterial SSU rRNA". It matches the Rfam family "Bacterial small subunit ribosomal RNA", at positions 31 to 507 of the family's 1533-position model. The record is from RNAcentral.
GAACGCUGGCGGAAUGCUUUACACAUGCAAGUCGAACGGUAGAGGGGCAACCCUUGAGAGUGGCGAACGGGUGAGUAAUAUAUCGGAACGUGCCCAGUCGUGGGGAUAACGUAGCGAAAGUUACGCUAAUACCGCAUACGAUCUACGGAUGAAAGCGGGGGACUCGCAAGAGCCUCGCGCGAUUGGAGCGGCCGAUAUCAGAUUAGGUAGUUGGUGAGGUAAAGGCUCACCAAGCCAACGAUCUGUAGCUGGUCUGAGAGGACGACCAGCCACACUGGAACUGAGACACGGUCCAGACUCCUACGGGAGGCAGCAGUGGGGAAUUUUGGACAAUGGACGCAAGUCUGAUCCAGCCAUUCCGCGUGCAGGAUGAAGGCCCUCGGGUUGUAAACUGCUUUUGUACGGAACGAAAAGGUUUCUAUUAAUACUAGGAGCUCAUGACGGUACCGUAAGAAUAAGCACCGGCUAACUACGUG